CAGCAGCCGCGGUAAUACGGAGGGGGCUAGCGUUGUUCGGAAUUACUGGGCGUAAAGCGCACGUAGGCGGCAUGGUAAGUUAGAGGUGAAAGCCCGGAGCUCGACUCCGGAAUUGCCUUUAAGACUGCCGAGCUAGUAGGUGAGAGAGGUAAGUGGAAUUCCGAGUGUAGAGGUGAAAUUCGUAGAUAUUCGGAAGAACACCAGUGGCGAAGGCGGCUCACUGGCCCAUAACUGACGCUGAGGCACGAAAGCGUGGGGAGCAAACAGGAUUAGAUACCCCCGUAGUCCCUGUCUCUUAUAC
This 301-nucleotide ribosomal RNA is filed under the name uncultured bacterium. Its description in RNAcentral is "partial 16S ribosomal RNA". It matches the Rfam family "Bacterial small subunit ribosomal RNA", at positions 509 to 807 of the family's 1533-position model. The record is from RNAcentral.